RNAcentral lists this ribosomal RNA (3010 nucleotides) under Salmonella enterica subsp. enterica serovar Infantis. Its description in RNAcentral is "23S ribosomal RNA". It matches the Rfam family "Bacterial large subunit ribosomal RNA". Lineage: Bacteria; Pseudomonadati; Pseudomonadota; Gammaproteobacteria; Enterobacterales; Enterobacteriaceae. The record is from RNAcentral.
GGUUAAGCGACUAAGCGUACACGGUGGAUGCCCUGGCAGUCAGAGGCGAUGAAGGGCGUGCUAAUCUGCGAUAAGCGCCGGUAAGGUGAUAUGAACCGUUAUAACCGGCGAUACCCGAAUGGGGAAACCCAGUGUGAUUCGUCACACUAUCAUUAACUGAAUCCAUAGGUUAAUGAGGCGAACCGGGGGAACUGAAACAUCUAAGUACCCCGAGGAAAAGAAAUCAACCGAGAUUCCCCCAGUAGCGGCGAGCGAACGGGGAGGAGCCCAGAGCCUGAAUCAGCAUGUGUGUUAGUGGAAGCGUCUGGAAAGGCGCGCGAUACAGGGUGACAGCCCCGUACACAAAAGCGCAUGUGCUGUGAGCUCGAUGAGUAGGGCGGGACACGUGGUAUCCUGUCUGAAUAUGGGGGGACCAUCCUCCAAGGCUAAAUACUCCUGACUGACCGAUAGUGAACCAGUACCGUGAGGGAAAGGCGAAAAGAACCCCGGCGAGGGGAGUGAAAAAGAACCUGAAACCGUGUACGUACAAGCAGUGGGAGCCCCACCACCAAAGCAUUCUCUGGUGUUGAAGGCCCUGCAAAGCAGCAUCGCGGUGGCGGAGCGUCGUUUGCGACGCCCAACACACAAAACAAGCGGUGAGUGCUUUGGGGUGGGGUGACUGCGUACCUUUUGUAUAAUGGGUCAGCGACUUAUAUUCUGUAGCAAGGUUAACCGAAUAGGGGAGCCGGAGGGAAACCGAGUCUUAAUUGGGCGUUAAGUUGCAGGGUAUAGACCCGAAACCCGGUGAUCUAGCCAUGGGCAGGUUGAAGGUUGGGUAACACUAACUGGAGGACCGAACCGACUAAUGUUGAAAAAUUAGCGGAUGACCUGUGGCUGGGGGUGAAAGGCCAAUCAAACCGGGAGAUAGCUGGUUCUCCCCGAAAGCUAUUUAGGUAGCGCCUCGUGAAUUCAUCUCCGGGGGUAGAGCACUGUUUCGGCUAGGGGGCCAUCCCGGCUUACCAACCCGAUGCAAACUGCGAAUACCGGAGAAUGUUAUCACGGGAGACACACGGCGGGUGCUAACGUCCGUCGUGAAGAGGGAAACAACCCAGACCGCCAGCUAAGGUCCCAAAGUCAUGGUUAAGUGGGAAACGAUGUGGGAAGGCCCAGACAGCCAGGAUGUUGGCUUAGAAGCAGCCAUCAUUUAAAAGAAAGCGUAAUAGCUCACUGGUCGAGUCGGCCUGCGCGGAAGAUGUAACGGGGCUAAACCAUGCACCGAAGCUGCGGCAGCGACACUCAGGUGUUGUUGGGUAGGGGAGCGUUCUGUAAGCCUGCGAAGGUGGCCUGUGAGGGUUGCUGGAGGUAUCAGAAGUGCGAAUGCUGACAUAAGUAACGAUAAAGCGGGUGAAAAGCCCGCUCGCCGGAAGACCAAGGGUUCCUGUCCAACGUUAAUCGGGGCAGGGUGAGUCGACCCCUAAGGCGAGGCCGAAAGGCGUAGUCGAUGGGAAACGGGUUAAUAUUCCCGUACUUGGUGUUACUGCGAAGGGGGGACGGAGAAGGCUAUGUUGGCCGGGCGACGGUUGUCCCGGUUUAAGCGUGUAGGUGUGUGUUCCAGGUAAAUCCGGUUCACUUUAACACUGAGGCGUGAUGACGAGGCACUACGGUGCUGAAGCAACAAAUGCCCUGCUUCCAGGAAAAGCCUCUAAGCAUCAGGUAACAUCAAAUCGUACCCCAAACCGACACAGGUGGUCAGGUAGAGAAUACCAAGGCGCUUGAGAGAACUCGGGUGAAGGAACUAGGCAAAAUGGUGCCGUAACUUCGGGAGAAGGCACGCUGACACGUAGGUGAAGUGAUUUACUCAUGGAGCUGAAGUCAGUCGAAGAUACCAGCUGGCUGCAACUGUUUAUUAAAAACACAGCACUGUGCAAACACGAAAGUGGACGUAUACGGUGUGACGCCUGCCCGGUGCCGGAAGGUUAAUUGAUGGGGUCAGCGCAAGCGAAGCUCCUGAUCGAAGCCCCGGUAAACGGCGGCCGUAACUAUAACGGUCCUAAGGUAGCGAAAUUCCUUGUCGGGUAAGUUCCGACCUGCACGAAUGGCGUAAUGAUGGCCAGGCUGUCUCCACCCGAGACUCAGUGAAAUUGAACUCGCUGUGAAGAUGCAGUGUACCCGCGGCAAGACGGAAAGACCCCGUGAACCUUUACUAUAGCUUGACACUGAACAUUGAGCCUUGAUGUGUAGGAUAGGUGGGAGGCUUUGAAGUGUGGACGCCAGUCUGCAUGGAGCCGACCUUGAAAUACCACCCUUUAAUGUUUGAUGUUCUAACGUGGACCCGUAAUCCGGGUUGCGGACAGUGUCUGGUGGGUAGUUUGACUGGGGCGGUCUCCUCCUAAAGAGUAACGGAGGAGCACGAAGGUUGGCUAAUCCUGGUCGGACAUCAGGAGGUUAGUGCAAUGGCAUAAGCCAGCUUGACUGCGAGCGUGACGGCGCGAGCAGGUGCGAAAGCAGGUCAUAGUGAUCCGGUGGUUCUGAAUGGAAGGGCCAUCGCUCAACGGAUAAAAGGUACUCCGGGGAUAACAGGCUGAUACCGCCCAAGAGUUCAUAUCGACGGCGGUGUUUGGCACCUCGAUGUCGGCUCAUCACAUCCUGGGGGCUGAAGUAGGUCCCAAGGGUAUGGCUGUUCGCCAUUUAAAGUGGUACGCGAGCUGGGUUUAGAACGUCGUGAGACAGUUCGGUCCCUAUCUGCCGUGGGCGCUGGAGAACUGAGGGGGGCUGCUCCUAGUACGAGAGGACCGGAGUGGACGCAUCACUGGUGUUCGGGUUGUCAUGCCAAUGGCACUGCCCGGUAGCUAAAUGCGGAAGAGAUAAGUGCUGAAAGCAUCUAAGCACGAAACUUGCCCCGAGAUGAGUUCUCCCUGAGACUUUAAGUCUCCUGAAGGAACGUUGAAGACGACGACGUUGAUAGGCCGGGUGUGUAAGCGCAGCGAUGCGUUGAGCUAACCGGUACUAAUGAACCGUGAGGCUUAACCUU